UCUGGCAGUCUUUGGCUGUCCGAGUUGUAGUCUGGAGAAGUGUUUUCCGCGCUGGACCGUGUACAAGUCUCUUGGAAUAGAGCGUCAUAGAGGGUGAGAAUCCCGUCUUUGACACGGACCGCCAGUGCUUUGUGAUGCGCUCUCAAAGAGUCGAGUUGUUUGGGAAUGCAGCUCAAAAUGGGUGGUAAAUUCCAUCUAAAGCUAAAUAUUGGCGAGAGACCGAUAGCGAACAAGUACCGUGAGGGAAAGAUGAAAAGCACUUUGGAAAGAGAGUUAAACAGUACGUGAAAUUGCUGAAAGGGAAACGCUUGAAGUCAGUCGCGUUGUCCAGAACUCAGCCUGGCUUUUGCUUGGUGCAUUUUCUGGAUAACGGGCCAGCAUCAAUUUUGAUCGUUGGAUAAAGGUCUUGGGAAUGUGGCACCUUCGGGUGUGUUAUAGCCCUUGAUUGCAUACAACGAUUGGGAUUGAGGAUCUCAGCAUGCCUUUAUGGUCGGGGUUCGCCCACGUUCAUGCUUAGGAUGCUGGCGUAAUGGCUUUAAUCGACCCGUCUUGAAACACGGACCAAGGAGUCUAACAUGCCUGCGAGUAUUUGGGUGGUAAACCCGAGUGCGCAAUGAAAGUGAAAGUUGGGAUCUCUGUCGCGGAGAGCACCGACGCCCGGACCAGACCUUCUGUGACGGUUCCGCGGUGGAGCAUGUAUGUUGGGACCCGAAAGAUGGUGAACUAUGCCUGAAUAGGGUGAAGCCAGAGGAAACUCUGGUGGAGGCUCGUAGCGAUUCUGACGUGCAAAUCGAUCGUC
This 799-nucleotide ribosomal RNA is filed under the name Climacocystis sp. RNAcentral describes it as "partial large subunit ribosomal RNA". It matches the Rfam family "Eukaryotic large subunit ribosomal RNA", at positions 121 to 906 of the family's 3401-position model. Lineage: Eukaryota; Fungi; Basidiomycota; Agaricomycetes; Polyporales; Climacocystaceae. The record is from RNAcentral.